GGGCAGCAUGGCGAUAGCUUGCUAUUGUUGAUGGCGACCGGCGCACGGGUGAGUAACGCGUAUCCAACCUGCCCUUGUCCAUCGGAUAACCCGUCGAAAGGCGGCCUAACACGAUAUGCAGUUCUCCGCAGGCAUCUAACGAGAACGAAAUGUGAAGGAGAAGGAUGGGGAUGCGUCUGAUUAGCUUGUUGGCGGGGUAACGGCCCACCAAGGCGACGAUCAGUAGGGGUUCUGAGAGGAAGGUCCCCCACAUUGGAACUGAGACACGGUCCAAACUCCUACGGGAGGCAGCAGUGAGGAAUAUUGGUCAAUGGGCGAGAGCCUGAACCAGCCAAGUAGCGUGCAGGAUGACGGCCCUAUGGGUUGUAAACUGCUUCUAUGCGGGGAUAAAGUGAGCCACGUGUGGCUUAUUGCAGGUACCGCAUGAAUAAGGACCGGCUAAUUCCGUGCCAGCAGCCGCGGUAAUACGGAAGGUCCGGGCGUUAUCCGGAUUUAUUGGGUUUAAAGGGAGCGUAGGCCGUCUGGUAAGCGUGUUGUGAAAUGUCGGGGCUCAACCUGGGCAUUGCAGCGCGAACUGUCAGACUUGAGUGCGCGGGAAGUAGGCGGAAUUCGUCGUGUAGCGGUGAAAUGCUUAGAUAUGACGAAGAACUCCGAUUGCGAAGGCAGCCUGCUGUAGCGCAACUGACGC
This 688-nucleotide ribosomal RNA is filed under the name uncultured Bacteroidales bacterium. Its description in RNAcentral is "bacterial SSU rRNA". It matches the Rfam family "Bacterial small subunit ribosomal RNA", at positions 67 to 746 of the family's 1533-position model. The record is from RNAcentral. Lineage: Bacteria; Pseudomonadati; Bacteroidota; Bacteroidia; Bacteroidales.